AGUGAACGCUGGCGGUAGGCCUAACACAUGCAAGUCGAACGGCAGCACAGUAAGAGCUUGCUCUUACGGGUGGCGAGUGGCGGACGGGUGAGGAAUAUAUCGGAAUCUACUUUUUCGUGGGGGAUAACGUAGGGAAACUUACUCUAAUACCGCAUACGACCUACGGGUGAAAGCAGUGGAUCUUCGCACCUUGCGCGAUUGAAUGAGCCGAUGUCGGAUUAGCUAGUUAGCGGGGUAAAGGCCCACCAUGGCGACGAUCCGUAGCUGGUGUGAGAGGAGGAUCGGCGACACUGGAGCUGAGACACGGUCCAGACUCCUACGGGAGGCAGCAGUGGGGAAUAUUGGACAAUGGGCGCAAGCCUUAUCCAGCCAUACCGCGUGUGUGAAGAAGGCCUUCGGGUUGUAAAGCCCUUUUGUUGGGAAAGAAAAGCAGCAGGUUAAUACCCCGCUGUUCUGACGGUAACCAAUGAAUAAGCACCGGCUAACUUCGUG
RNAcentral lists this ribosomal RNA (492 nucleotides) under uncultured bacterium. RNAcentral describes it as "partial 16S ribosomal RNA". It matches the Rfam family "Bacterial small subunit ribosomal RNA", at positions 29 to 507 of the family's 1533-position model. The record is from RNAcentral.